Molecule: ribosomal RNA, 234 nt
Filed under: uncultured bacterium
Lineage: Bacteria
Description: partial 16S ribosomal RNA
Rfam family: Bacterial small subunit ribosomal RNA
Source: RNAcentral
GCCGCGGGAUUAGAGUUUGAUCCUGGCUCAGGAUAAACCCCUGCGGCGUGCCUAACACAUGCAAGUCGAACGCGCUUUCGGGCUUCGGUGCGAGAGCGAGUGGCGGACGGGUGAGUAACACAUGGGUACCUGCCUUUCAGUGAGGGAUACCGGCGAGAAAUCUCCGACAAUACCGCAUGGGCUUGUGGGAACACAAACUCAAUGGCGCAAGCCACGCUGGAAGAUGGGCCUGUG